GAAGCUGGAAUCGCUAGUAAUCGCGAAUCAGAAUGUCGCGGUGAAUACGUUCCCGGGUCUUGUACACACCGCCCGUCACACCAUGGGAGUUGGGAAUGCCCGAAGCCGGUGACCUAACCGAAAGGGAGGAGCCGUCGAAGGCAGGCUUGAUAACUGGGGUGAAGUCGUAACAAGGUAAC
Molecule: ribosomal RNA, 179 nt
Filed under: uncultured bacterium
Lineage: Bacteria
Description: partial 16S ribosomal RNA
Rfam family: Bacterial small subunit ribosomal RNA
Source: RNAcentral